CGAUUUAUUAGUUUUUCAGAGAAAAGACAGGGUGAUAUCUGUUUCGUUUAUUUUUAAGAAAUAAAUUUAGCUAUUUAUAAAAUAAUCAGACUUUCACUUUAGAAUCUUAAAUAUAAGGGUAAACUUCAAAUACUAUCCCUGUGGUUUCGCUCGUUCUCACUUUGGUACUCUGUGGUUUAAAAUGUAUCAUUUAAUAAUCCGUGGUUUUAUUUUAUCUUUUCGUCAAUAUCUUAGUUAACUCUCCAUUAAAUCAUAUAAAAAAAACUUCACAUAACUCACCUAUGGUCAACCGAAUAUUCACUUUAGUACUUUGUGAUUUACCGAAUUUCUACUUUAGUAUCCCUUGAUUUUAAUGUAGAGAAUAACCCACCAAAUACUAAGUGUAUAUUUUAAACUAGAUAAUACUAAAGUAAAAAAGCAUGCCACAAAAAUAAUAUUUAAAUUUUUAUCUAAAUAUUAAUUAUCAAAUUUUUAAUCAACUAUGCUAAAUAUCUAGU
RNAcentral lists this long non-coding RNA (497 nucleotides) under Ananas comosus (pineapple). RNAcentral's name for it is "long non-coding RNA (ACOM_LNC019507)". The record is from RNAcentral. Lineage: Eukaryota; Viridiplantae; Streptophyta; Magnoliopsida; Poales; Bromeliaceae.